CUGCCCUAGCUACCCAUGGCCAUGCUAAAUGUUCUUUUGGGAUUUCAGGUGCUAUUUAAGAACCUUACUGUUGACAUAAAGGAUGUGAAACCAACUUCCCUGCUCAAAGAUCGUCUGCGUGAAGUCGAGGGAAAUCCAGAUUUUUCAAAUAAAGAUGUUACUGCAUCUCAAACCCCUGUGGUUGCAGAAGUCCCUUCAGGGACCAUCCCUUCACUAACUCAUAUGGAACAACAACCUGAGAUCAAUAUCACAUCCCGAGCUAUGAGCCUUCCAAAUAUACUUAAUCAGUAUGCUGCUCCUGUCCGUCUACCUACAAACAACACGGUAGAAGAUGACAAAGUUGCUCUGAUGAUGCCUGAGCAAGUGCCCUCGUUGACCCAGCUUAUGGCGGCUAUUCCACGUGAAGAGAUACGUUUCAAAAUAAAUCCAAAGCUCGGCUCCCUUGGUCCACAACUGCAAUAUAGCAAAAUUAUGGAUUUGGCUUUGGAUAAGGUUAACAGGGAGAUAAUACAUAGGCAAGGAUCAUCAAGUUUGACGUCGGCAACGUGGUCAUGGUGACUGGCGGGAGGAACACCGAGCGUGUAGGAGUCAUCAAGAACAGGGAGAAGCACAAGGGCAGCUUUGAGACCAUCCACGUGUUGCUUGGAGCUUUUUGCUAUGUCUAGUUUUCUCCUAUUUGUUGUAUAGGAAAACAUAGAAUAG
Molecule: RNA transcript, 702 nt
Organism: Zea mays
Lineage: Eukaryota; Viridiplantae; Streptophyta; Magnoliopsida; Poales; Poaceae
Gene name: CCR4-NOT transcription complex subunit 1 pseudogene
Exons: 4
Source: RefSeq, marked validated